RNAcentral lists this ribosomal RNA (804 nucleotides) under Salmonella enterica. RNAcentral's name for it is "partial 23S ribosomal RNA". It matches the Rfam family "Bacterial large subunit ribosomal RNA", at positions 2125 to 2925 of the family's 2925-position model. Lineage: Bacteria; Pseudomonadati; Pseudomonadota; Gammaproteobacteria; Enterobacterales; Enterobacteriaceae. RNAcentral also lists the same sequence under 2 other names. The record is from RNAcentral.
UGGUCCUUGAUGUGUAGGAUAGGUGGGAGGCUUUGAAGUGUGGACGCCAGUCUGCAUGGAGCCAUCCUUGAAAUACCACCCUUUAAUGGCUGGUGUUCUAACGUAGACCCGUAAUCCGGGUUGCGGACAGUGUCUGGUGGGUAGUUUGACUGGGGCGGUCUCCUCCUAAAGAGUAACGGAGGAGCACGAAGGUUGGCUAAUCCUGGUCGGACAUCAGGAGGUUAGUGCAAUGGCAUAAGCCAGCUUGACUGCGAGCGUGACGGCGCGAGCAGGUGCGAAAGCAGGUCAUAGUGAUCCGGUGGUUCUGAAUGGAAGGGCCAUCGCUCAACGGAUAAAAGGUACUCCGGGGAUAACAGGCUGAUACCGCCCAAGAGUUCAUAUCGACGGCGGUGUUUGGCACCUCGAUGUCGGCUCAUCACAUCCUGGGGCUGAAGUAGGUCCCAAGGGUAUGGCUGUUCGCCAUUUAAAGUGGUACGCGAGCUGGGUUUAGAACGUCGUGAGACAGUUCGGUCCCUAUCUGCCGUGGGCGCUGGAGAACUGAGGGGGGCUGCUCCUAGUACGAGAGGACCGGAGUGGACGCAUCACUGGUGUUCGGGUUGUCAUGCCAAUGGCACUGCCCGGUAGCUAAAUGCGGAAGAGAUAAGUGCUGAAAGCAUCUAAGCACGAAACUUGCCCCGAGAUGAGUUCUCCCUGAGACUUAGAGUCUCCUGAAGGAACGUUGAAGACGACGACGUUGAUAGGCCGGGUGUGUAAGCGCAGCGAUGCGUUGAGCUAACCGGUACUAAUGAACCGUGAGGCUUAACC